AUCGAUGAAGAACGCAGCGAAAUGCGAUAAGUAGUGUGAAUUGCAGAAUUCAGUGAAUCAUCGAAUCUUUGAACGCACAUUGCGCCCCUUGGUAUUCCAUGGGGCAUGCCUGUUCGAGCGUCAUCUAAACCCUCAAGCUCUGCUUGGUGUUGGGCGUCUGUCCCCGCGUCCGCGCGGAGACUCGCCUCAAAUUCAUUGGCAGCGGUCCUUGCCUCCUCUCGCGCAGCACAAUUGCACUCGAGGAGGCGCGGCCCGCGUCCACGAAGCUGUUUUACACCGUCUUUGACCUCGGAUCAGGUAGGGAUACCCGCUGAACUUAAGCAUAUCAAUAAGCGGAGGAAAAGAAACCAACAGGGAUUGCCCUAGUAACGGCGAGUGAAGCGGCAACAGCUCAAAUUUGAAAUCUGGCCCUCUUUGGGGGUCCGAGUUGUAAUUUGCAGAGGGUGCUUUGGCAUUGGCGGCGGUCUAAGUUCCUUGGAACAGGACAUCGCAGAGGGUGAGAAUCCCGUACGUGGGCGCCUGCCUUUGCCGUGUAAAGCCCCUUCGACGAGUCGAGUUGUUUGGGAAUGCAGCUCUAAAUGGGAGGUAAAUUUCUUCUAAAGCUAAAUACCGGCCAGAGACCGAUAGCGCACAAGUAGAGUGAUCGAAAGAUGAAAAGUACUUUGGAAAGAGAGUCAAACAGCACGUGAAAUUGUUAAUAGGGAAGCGCUUGCAGCCAGACUUGCCCGCAGUUGCUCACCCAGGCUCCGGCCCGGGGCACUCUUCUGCGGGCAGGCCAGCAUCAGUUUGGGCGGUCGGACAAAGGCCUCUUUCAUGUAUCUCCCUUCGGGGUGACCUUAUAGAGGAGGCGUAAUGCGACCAGCCCGGACUGAGGUCCGCGCUUCUGCUAGGAUGCUGGCGUAAUGGCUGUAAGCGGCCCGUCUUGAAACACG
This 932-nucleotide ribosomal RNA is filed under the name uncultured Ascomycota. RNAcentral's name for it is "eukaryotic LSU rRNA". The stretch from base 284 to 932 matches the Rfam family "Eukaryotic large subunit ribosomal RNA", at positions 1 to 663 of the family's 3401-position model. Lineage: Eukaryota; Fungi; Ascomycota. The record is from RNAcentral.